GUGCUCCAGCAGCACUAAAAUUGGAACCAUACAGAGAAUAUUAGCAUGACCCCUGUGCAAGCAUGACACACAAAUUCAAGAAGCGUUCCAUAUUUUA
RNAcentral lists this small nuclear RNA (97 nucleotides) under Castor canadensis (American beaver). Lineage: Eukaryota; Metazoa; Chordata; Mammalia; Rodentia; Castoridae. The record is from RNAcentral.